Long non-coding RNA from Osmia bicornis bicornis, 535 nucleotides. RefSeq lists it as uncharacterized. NCBI's taxonomy places the organism in Eukaryota, Metazoa, Arthropoda, Insecta, Hymenoptera, Megachilidae. The record is from RefSeq and is a predicted model, not a curated record. The transcript is spliced from 4 exons.
AGAUAAUGCUCUUUAAAUUGAAAAUUCUCUUCGGAUCUCGUUGGGAAGGAUGAACGAGUUGGAUGAGCCGAGAUGAAACACCAGAGAGUUAAAGGAAGUAUGUACGACGACAGGGAUCCAUGAAAAAUUGAUGGUGAUCGCGGUUUUGAAUUCAAAGCAUCGUUCCACGGUCAUCUCUCGCCGUUGAAGACACGUCGAGCCAUUUGACGAGAUUUAUUUGGAACCGAAGCACUAUUCUGGACUCCGAGGAGCGCCGAUGACAGAGCACGAUAACCGACGACACGUGGAGGGGGGACGAAUUUAUCGGCGUACGAGAAAAACGCGGUCGCUUGUUGGCACAACAUUAGCGAGGAAAAUUCAUCGAGGUCGCGACGAAGAGUUAUGGCGAACACGUGACACCUUCGUUGUGCCUGGACUCCUUUCAUCCAGGAUUUACCUCGGCUCGGACCUCGAAGAGAAGCCUAACCAAGUCACGACGAUGAUUUCGUCCAUUCGUCAAGUGGACCGUGAAACACGCGACAGCGGAACGGAGAAG